Molecule: long non-coding RNA, 4565 nt
Organism: Astatotilapia calliptera (eastern happy)
Lineage: Eukaryota; Metazoa; Chordata; Actinopteri; Cichliformes; Cichlidae
Source: Ensembl
UUCCUGAAACAGGGCCCUGUUCCCCUGAGUCUGGCAGUGAGGUGUGGAGAGAACACGAGUGCCGAAGAGGAGUGUGAUUUGGACCCGUUUCCCCUCCAUCCUUGGAAAUCCCUCUCCGAUUGUAAAUAAACUUGUGACUUUCAUUCUAAAUUCAGCUGGUCUGCGUCCAAGUCCGUUCCACCUGCGUGAGACUGGAUCUGAAUUUCAAGUGUGAAAGGAGCUCAUGCAGACAUAAACCGGUGGUGGGAAGUGACAAUAUGAUGAUGUGAAGGUCUGUCAGCCAUAGUAUGGCUGAAGACAGAGUGAUAGAGACCUCAUCUGACCCCAGACCCAUCCCCUCCCAGGCAGGAACCCUACAGACAAGAGAGAGGGACAAUGGAUAGAGAAUACGCACUGAGCUAACUAUCAUAAAGCCAUAAAAGGCACUUUCACCAAAUAUUAGAGAAAACUCCAGUUCAUUCACUUGUUAAAUUGGUGGAGUUAUAGUUGGAAUAAACAACAGAGAUCAGGAUCCAAAGAUGCUGAGGAUGCUACAUAGGAAAGCUCAGUCUGCUGUCCCUGUUGCUGAUGUGUUUUGGGGUUUGACACCUUUAAAACUGGAGUGUUAUAUAAAAAUCUGUAAUUAUUCAUUCUGAAUGAUUCUGAGACAUCACAGUAGUUUAUCUCAACUAAUUAACAUUACCGUAGUAUACUUUGGUAAGAGGUAGCUGAAGUGGUUUUACAUGGAUCCAGUGUCGCAUGUGAAAAUAGUCUAUUUAAGCAGACACAUACUUGAGGCAUCAUUCCCCUGGAGGAAAACAUUCAAGUCUAAAGCUCAGUGAAGACUGCUUCAUAAGACUGAAUAAUUGGUUAAGCCUCCGUCAUUCUUGCUGUGAGAGGCUGCACACAAACACACAGGCAGACUGUUUGAAGUCUUGAUUUCCUGAUGUAUUUGGAAAUUCAGCUUUCAAUUUCAAACACUGUCACUUCAAUAUGCAACCAAUUUCUGGGUGCAGCCCCCCCAUGCAUGAUAAGCCACUGCACUCUUUAAAGCUUAAAUCAUCAACAUACUUAUGGAAAAGGCUAAAUGCAAAUUUGUUGUCUGACCUACAUUUGGCUUUGUUCCCUCCAGCACUUGAAUGAUUUAAAGGUUCCUUUUGGGAUAUUUACAACAAUCUCAGAAUUAUAUGUGAUGCAGCAAAGAAAGGUCUUUAUUUGUAAUUAUUGAUAUUAGCAUGUGAUUGUGUAAGACGUAAACUAUAUGACAGAGGCAAGACCUUUUAGGACCAGUUUGUGUAAACUAAACAUCACAGUGGCUAAGAUGGUUGAAAUCUACAUACGAAUGUAGACGUAUGAUCAGAAACUUACUGUAAUGAACAUAGAUAAGGGGAUCUAGAUAUCCAGAGACAUAUAACCACCAUAUCUAGCUGCUUCUUCGCUGUGCAGAGUGCUGACCAUGGGGUUAUUGCUAAAUUUCUCUGGUUUCUCUGUACAGACAGGCCAAAAUUUGUUGAGAAAAAUUGCAAUUUUUUAAGUUAUACAUUUAAAAUUAUGGACUGGUUCUUAUUUGUGCUUUUGAGCACUACAGCGCUUUACACAACUUGGCCCCAGGGCAGCUGUGGCUACAACUGUAGCUGCCUCCACCAGUGUGUGAAUGUGUGUGUGAAUGGGUGGAUGACUGGGUGUGUAAAGCGCUUUUGGGUCCCUAGGGGGGACUAGUAAAAAUCGCUAUACAAAUACAGGUCAUUUACCAUUUUACCAUUUGUGCAUUAAUCUAUUCACACAAGCACAUUUUCUAAGUGCUUUCUAAUUAACAUUCACACACACAUUCAUACUCCCAUCGAUGCAUCGGAGAGCUGAAACCUACCACCGGAGCAACAGCCACCCCUGAAUAGUGAAUAAUAAUUACAGUGAAUAGUUAUGAUAGCUGUAAUUGCUUUAUAAUUGUAGUGAACAAAAGCCACUGAGUAACCGCUAAGGGCCUCUAUACUACUUGUGCAAACUUUUCAGGAGCCCAGAAUAAACGGGACAAGAGGGUCAAUAUCAGCCAGGAUACGUUAAAGUUUAUUAUUUGAAAUGAAAAAAAAAAAAAGGUUUGCAAUAGGCCUAAUGCGAGAUGCGAGUGAGGCUCUGGUGCAUGUCUUUGAGGUGAGCUGUGCAAAACGUAGCUUUUUGUUUUUGGGUUUUUUGUUUGUUUUUAUUUAUUUAUUUUUGUGACUUUGUGCUGCUUCUGAUGAGUGCCAAAGUGUUUCAUAUUCACAUGCUGUAUGUUCUAAUCCUUCAAAGGUACCUAAAACAUAUUUUGGGAAUGCGGAUUCUCACAGGUUAGAUCUCUGUGGCCAGUAAAUACAAACAUGUAUUAUGUUGUAGCAGAUUUUAUCACCUCAAUGAUAACCAAUUAAAUGUAGCCUUGGUUUUCUGUUUUUCAGGAAGGCUAGACAUAUGUGAACAAUAAUUGCAUUGAGAAUAAUUAAAAAUAGCAAAUUCAGAUGUAGUUUCUCACAACUUCAACUUUUGUUGUAAUUUAGCUUUAGCUUUGUGUUGAAACAAAAGUGCAUCGUCCUUACAAAAGUAUGUCUGUGUUAUGUGUUAAAGGACCAAGAAGACCCUAAUACCUAUUUGAUGAAACGUCCUCUCUCCUGCCCAGUGCUGAUCGGGAGUCCGUCCAACUGCAUCCUAGCGGUAGGAGAUGUGCCAAUAACCACGUUUCCAAAAGACGAGGUUACGGAGGGUUCUUUAUACCUUAUGGCCUACUAUUAUACCCUACACCUUACAUACCCAAAGUGUGUAGCCUCUCCGCUGUCCGUCAUACAGACAGAGGUUCUCUUGGACAAAAUCCAUGAGCGAGAUCUCACAUCAUCUUACAAGAAGAGCAUGGCUGACUGGAAUGCUUUUAUUGGCCAGUAGAGCCAGUGUGGUUAAGAUGUGGACUAUAGGAAAACACUUCUUCUCUCCUUCCAAGGCUACUACAGUCCAUGUUGGUUGUGAUUGAUUUUUGUUUGGAAAUUGGCCAGGUUAGCCCAGUUUUAUAAUUAAGGGUGCACGAUAAUAUCGGCGAACAUGCCGAUGUUUUAUGUUUGGUUUGUGCAGUGCAGAGACUGCCUAGCUUUUAGUUGAUUUUAAAGGGUUUUUUUAAUGUUGAGUUUAGGCUACAGUCUAUUCAGCAGACAGGCUGCGUGCAUCCUUAAUGAUCAUUUUACAAUGGUAUCGUUUGAAGAAUGAUGUCAAAUGUCCAUGUUAAUUUAAAUGAUAAAAACACUUUGUAUUAAUAACAAAUGUUACAGGUUGAGCAGUUAGUCUGCCUAGCAGUGUGUUUGUCUGUGCUUUGAAUUGUGCCUGUGCAAUGCACAGAUUUUACUGGUGUAUUAAGGGCCGAACAAAAAGUCACUGCAAAACGGCUUCUUUAAUGCAGUCCUCUGUUUAUGGGGCUUUACCAAUGAAGUUGCUGCGCUUUUUUUCACUUAUUUCAAGCUCUUGUAUGAAGUUUUUUUUUCUUGUUUUUGAAGGGCCAUUUUUUCCAGUGCAGGGGCAUUGAUCAAGGGUGGAGAUUAAGUAUGUACACAGUGACAUUCAGAUAUUUUAAUGGUAUCAGCUAAAAUUAAAAAUAAGGCAAAACAAAGAGUUAAGGUUGUGAUUCGCUCCCACCGGGCACACCCUUUAAUUCUAGGGACGGAUUGACCUGGGUUUGAAAAACCGGUGGGGCAAUGUGUGGGCGUGCUCAUGACUGAUAGGGACCUGUUGUAUCUGUGCUGCGCUCAGUGGUGACAUGAGGUCAUCCUACAGUGAGGACGGGGAGGGUGGGAUCUGUGAGGUGGAUUCUAGGCAGCAGUUUUAGGCAAACAGCAGAAGGACUGAUAACUGUGUUGAUUUUGUAGGGGCUGAUGAAGUGUGGAGCCAGUUUCCUGGAAACAGACAUUAGAGGAAUGUCCACAGAUAACUAAACCUUUUGGCCCUGACGAUAGUGAGGGGUCAGAGUCUGAUGACGAUUGGCCAGUGUGUGGUUCUGCGCCACAGUGAGGAGCGUAGACCUGUCUCCCUACCUGACAACAUCUGUACAGCUGUUGGUGCACCGAAGGCACAGCUAGUUCCUCCUACAAGGCGGGUUGAGCCCAGCCUAGAAAAACCUCAAAAAGGAUUGCAAGUAUCCAGGAGGACACUACAGGGCCCAGUUCAGUAGUGGGCAACCAAGUGCCAGACCAGGAAGAGCAGGAGGAUGUGGGCCAGCCGGAGCCAAGAGCGGACAAAAGAAAGAAGGACAGGGAGGAUGAAUUUGUUGAAUUAAUAAGAGGACAUGAGAAAGCAAAGAGAAACGGAGGAAGGAAGAGCCGAGAGAAUGGACAGGCUGUUAGGUGUCCUGGAAAAUCCCGUUGAAAAGAAAAAUGAUAAAAGUCACUGUACAUAUUUCCACUUUAUGUUUUUGUUACAAACUAUGUUCUGCAUAAACAAAAGGAUUGAAGUUUGGAAAUCUUCCAGCUGUAUUUGCAUUAUUUUCUCAAACUAUGUACAACAAUUUAUUUGUACCUGACCUAUUAAAUUAUCCAAACUGAGAAAAUAACAGUGUAAAUAAAAAGCCAACAGGAUUAUUA